GUGCCAGCAGCCGCGGUAAUACGGAGGGUGCGAGCGUUAAUCGGAAUUACUGGGCGUAAAGGGCGCGUAGGCGGUUUGGUAAGUGAGUUGUGAAAGCCCCGGGCUCAACCUGGGAAUGGCAAUUCGAACUGCCAGGCUAGAAUGCAGCAGAGGGCAGUGGAAUUCCAGGUGUAGCGGCGAAAUGCGUAGAUAUCUGGAGGAACACCAGUGGCGAAGGCGACUGCCUGGGCUGACAUUGACGCUGAGGUGCGGAAGCGUGGGGAGCGAACAGGAUUAGAUACCCCCGUAGUCC
RNAcentral lists this ribosomal RNA (292 nucleotides) under uncultured prokaryote. RNAcentral describes it as "partial 16S ribosomal RNA". It matches the Rfam family "Bacterial small subunit ribosomal RNA", at positions 505 to 796 of the family's 1533-position model. The record is from RNAcentral.